Molecule: ribosomal RNA, 468 nt
Filed under: uncultured bacterium
Lineage: Bacteria
Description: partial 16S ribosomal RNA
Rfam family: Bacterial small subunit ribosomal RNA
Source: RNAcentral
GACGAACGCUGGCGGCGUGCUUAACACAUGCAAGUCGAACGGAAAGGCCCUGCUUUUGUGGGGUGCUCGAGUGGCGAACGGGUGAGUAACACGUGAGUAACCUGCCCUUGACUUUGGGAUAACUUCAGGAAACUGGGGCUAAUACCGGAUAGGAGCUCCUGCUGCAUGGUGGGGGUUGGAAAGUUUCGGCGGUUGGGGAUGGACUCGCGGCUUAUCAGCUUGUUGGUGGGGUAGUGGCUUACCAAGGCUUUGACGGGUAGCCGGCCUGAGAGGGUGACCGGCGACAUUGGGACUGAGAUACGGCGCAGACUCCUACGGGAGGCAGCAGUGGGGAAUAUUGCACAAUGGGCGGAAGCCUGAUGCAGCAACGCCGCGUGCGGGAUGACGGCCUUCGAGUUGUAAACCGCUUUCGCCUGUGACGAAGCGUGAGUGACGGUAAUGGGUAAAGAAGCACCGGCUAACUACGUG